This 447-nucleotide ribosomal RNA is filed under the name uncultured bacterium. Its description in RNAcentral is "bacterial SSU rRNA". It matches the Rfam family "Bacterial small subunit ribosomal RNA", at positions 355 to 825 of the family's 1533-position model. The record is from RNAcentral.
UGGGGAAUAUUGGACAAUGGGCGCAAGCCUGAUCCAGCCAUGCCGCGUGAGUGACGAAGGUCUUCGGAUUGUAAAGCUCUUUUAGCAGGGAAGAUAAUGACGGUACCUGCAGAAUAAGCACCGGCUAACUACGUGCCAGCAGCCGCGGUAAUACGUAGGGUGCGAGCGUUAAUCGGAAUUACUUGGCGUAAAGCGUGCGCAGGCGGUUAUAUAAGUCAGUGGUGAAAGCCCAUCGCUCAACGGUGGAACGGCCAUUGAUACUGUCUGACUUGAAUUAUUAGGAAGUAACUAGAAUAUGUAGUGUAGCGGUGAAAUGCAUAGAUAUUAUCCAGAACACCAAUUGCGUAGGCAAGUUACUAAGUCAUAACUGACGCUGAGGCACGAAAGUGUGGGUAUCAAACAGGAUUAGAUACCCCCGUAGUCCCUGAGCGGGCUGGCAAGGCGCAU